Molecule: ribosomal RNA, 429 nt
Filed under: Actinomycetes bacterium
Lineage: Bacteria; Bacillati; Actinomycetota; Actinomycetes
Description: Actinobacteria bacterium partial 16S ribosomal RNA
Rfam family: Bacterial small subunit ribosomal RNA
Source: RNAcentral
UAGGGAAUCUUCCGCAAUGGGCGAAAGCCUGACGGAGCAACGCCGCGUGUGUGAUGAAGGUCUUCGGAUCGUAAAACUCUGUUAUUAGGGAAGAACAAAUGUGUAAGUAACUAUGCACGUCUUGACGGUACCUAAUCAGAAAGCCACGGCUAACUACGUGCCAGCAGCCGCGGUAAUACGUAGGUGGCAAGCGUUAUCCGGAAUUAUUGGGCGUAAAGCGCGCGUAGGCGGUUUUUUAAGUCUGAUGUGAAAGCCCACGGCUCAACCGUGGAGGGUCAUUGGAAACUGGAAAACUUGAGUGCAGAAGAGGAAAGUGGAAUUCCAUGUGUAGCGGUGAGAUGCGCAGAGAUAUGGAGGAACACCAGUAGCGAAGGCGACUUUCUGGUCUGUAACUGACGCUGAUGUGCGAAAGCGUGGGGAUCAAACAGG